RNAcentral lists this ribosomal RNA (253 nucleotides) under uncultured bacterium. RNAcentral's name for it is "partial 16S ribosomal RNA". It matches the Rfam family "Bacterial small subunit ribosomal RNA", at positions 524 to 776 of the family's 1533-position model. The record is from RNAcentral.
UACGUAGGGCGCAAGCGUUGUCCGGAAUCACUGGGCGUAAAGGGCGCGUAGGCGGCCAAUCAAGUCAGGGGUGAAAUCCCGAGGCUUAACCUCGGAACUGCCUUUGAUACUGUUUGGCUCGAGACCGGAAGAGGUAAGUGGAACUGCGAGUGUAGAGGUGAAAUUCGUAGAUAUUCGGAAGAACACCAGUGGCGAAGGCGGCUCACUGGACUGGUAUUGACGCUGAGGUGCGAAAGCGUGGGGAGCAAACAGG